RNAcentral lists this unclassified non-coding RNA (274 nucleotides) under Basidiomycota sp. RNAcentral describes it as "partial contains small subunit ribosomal RNA, internal transcribed spacer 1, and 5.8S ribosomal RNA". The stretch from base 1 to 47 matches the Rfam family "Eukaryotic small subunit ribosomal RNA", at positions 1785 to 1831 of the family's 1831-position model. The record is from RNAcentral. Lineage: Eukaryota; Fungi; Basidiomycota.
AAAGUCGUAACAAGGUUUCCGUAGGUGAACCUGCGGAAGGAUCAUUAACACGUAUACUCCAAUAAAAAAACAAACAAAUGCGAACUAAUUUCAUCCCUAUAGGGAGGGGAGUUAAAAUCCUCUCUUUAUAGGCUAACUUAACUUUUCUAUAUAACCAUAUAACCCCUAUAACUAUUAUACAACUAAUACUAAGACAUUCUAGUUUCUUCGGGAACUGCUUGUUAUUCUUUACGAAAUGUAAGAACAACUCUUAGCAAUGGAUAUCUUGGUUCUC